This 200-nucleotide ribosomal RNA is filed under the name uncultured bacterium. RNAcentral describes it as "partial 16S ribosomal RNA". It matches the Rfam family "Bacterial small subunit ribosomal RNA", at positions 29 to 258 of the family's 1533-position model. The record is from RNAcentral.
AACGAACGCUGGCGGCAGGCUUAACACAUGCAAGUCGAACGCUCCGCAAGGAGAGUGGCAGACGGGUGAGUAACGCGUGGGAAUCUACCUGAUACUACGGAACAACAGAGGGAAACUUCUGCUAAUACCGUAUACGCCCUACGGGGGAAAGAUUUAUCGGUAUCAGAUGAGCCUGCGUAAGAUUAGCUAGUUGGUGGGGU